RNAcentral lists this ribosomal RNA (427 nucleotides) under uncultured bacterium. Its description in RNAcentral is "bacterial SSU rRNA". It matches the Rfam family "Bacterial small subunit ribosomal RNA", at positions 355 to 774 of the family's 1533-position model. The record is from RNAcentral.
UGGGGAAUUUUGGACAAUGGACGCAAGUCUGAUCCAGCCAUGCCGCGUGCAGGAUGAAGGCCUUCGGGUUGUAAACUGCUUUUGUACGGAGCGAAAAGGUCUGCCCUAAUACGGUGGGCUCAUGACGGUACCGUAAGAAUAAGCACCGGCUAACUACGUGCCAGCAGCCGCGGUAAUACGUAGGGUGCGAGCGUUAAUCGGAAUUACUGGGCGUAAAGCGUGCGCAGGCGGUUAUAUAAGACAGAUGUGAAAUCCCCGGGCUCAACCUGGGACCUGCAUUUGGGACUGUAUAGCUAGAGUACGGUAGAGGGGGAUGGAAUUCCGCGUGUAGCAGUGAAAUGCGUAGAUAUGCGGAGGAACACCGAUGGCGAAGGCAAUCCCCUGGACCUGUACUGACGCUCAUGCACGAAAGCGUGGGGAGCAAACA